RNAcentral lists this ribosomal RNA (1104 nucleotides) under uncultured bacterium. RNAcentral's name for it is "bacterial SSU rRNA". It matches the Rfam family "Bacterial small subunit ribosomal RNA", at positions 264 to 1359 of the family's 1533-position model. The record is from RNAcentral.
CUUACCAUGGCCAUGAUGCAUAGCCGACCUGAGAGGGUGAUCGGCCACAUUGGGACUGAGACACGGCCCAAACUCCUACGGGAGGCAGCAGUAGGGAAUCUUCCGCAAUGGACGCAGGUCUGACGGAGCAACGCCGCGUGUGUGAAGAAGGUCUUCGGAUCGUAAAGCACUGUUGUUAGAGAAGAACACCCGGUAGAGUAACUGUUACCGGCAUGACGGUAUCUAACCAGAAAGCCACGGCUAACUACGUGCCAGCAGCCGCGGUAAUACGUAGGUGGCAAGCGUUGUCCGGAUUUAUUGGGCGUAAAGGGAGCGCAGGUGGUGACUUAAGUCUGAUGUGAAAGCCCUCGGCUCAACCGUGGAGGGUCAUUGGAAACUGGGUCACUUGAGUACAGAAGAGGAAAGUGGAAUUCCAUGUGUAGCGGUGAAAUGCGUAGAUAUAUGGAAGAACACCAGUGGCGAAGGCGACUUUUUGGUCUGUGACUGACACUGAGGCUCGAAAGCGUGGGGAGCCAACAAAAGUGGUUCCCUGGUUGUCCCCGCCGUUNNCCCCCUCAAAAGGAGUGUUGGAGGGUUUCCACCCCUCAAGUGUAGGAGUUAACGCAAUUAGCACUCCGCUUGGGGAGGGCGGGCGCAAGGCUGGAAUUCAAAGGAAUGGAGGGGGACCCGGCACAAGCGAGUGGAGCAUGUAGUUUAUUUCGAAGCAACGCGAAGAACCUUCCCAGGUCUUGACAUACGAUGCAUAGCCUAGAGAUAGGUGAAACCCUUCGGGGCAUCGAUACAGGUGGUGCAUGGUUGUCGUCAGCUUGUGUCGUGAGUGGGUUGGUUAAGUCCAGCAGCGAGCGCAACCCUUAUUAUUAGCUUCCAGCAUUCAGUUGGGGACUCUAGUGAGACUGCCGGUGACAAACCGGAGGAAGGUGGGGAUGACAUCAAAUCAUCAUCCCCCUUAUGACCUGGGCUACACACGUGCUACAAUGGAUGGUACAACGAGGAGAGAACUCGCAAGGGCAGGCAAAUCUCUUAAAGCCAUUCUCAGUUCGGAUAGUUCUCUGCAACUCGAGAGCAUGAAGCCGGAAUCGCUAGUAAUCGCGGAUCAGCACGCCG